RNAcentral lists this ribosomal RNA (588 nucleotides) under uncultured Pseudomonas sp. RNAcentral's name for it is "bacterial SSU rRNA". It matches the Rfam family "Bacterial small subunit ribosomal RNA", at positions 28 to 612 of the family's 1533-position model. Lineage: Bacteria; Pseudomonadati; Pseudomonadota; Gammaproteobacteria; Pseudomonadales; Pseudomonadaceae. The record is from RNAcentral.
AUUGAACGCUGGCGGCAGGCCUAACACAUGCAAGUCGAGCGGUAGAGAGAAGCUUGCUUCUCUUGAGAGCGGCGGACGGGUGAGUAAUGCCUAGGAAUCUGCCUGGUAGUGGGGGAUAACGUUCGGAAACGGACGCUAAUACCGCAUACGUCCUACGGGAGAAAGCAGGGGACCUUCGGGCCUUGCGCUAUCAGAUGAGCCUAGGUCGGAUUAGCUAGUUGGUGAGGUAAUGGCUCACCAAGGCGACGAUCCGUAACUGGUCUGAGAGGAUGAUCAGUCACACUGGAACUGAGACACGGUCCAGACUCCUACGGGAGGCAGCAGUGGGGAAUAUUGGACAAUGGGCGAAAGCCUGAUCCAGCCAUGCCGCGUGUGUGAAGAAGGUCUUCGGAUUGUAAAGCACUUUAAGUUGGGAGGAAGGGUUGUAGAUUAAUACUCUGCAAUUUUGACGUUACCGACAGAAUAAGCACCGGCUAACUCUGUGCCAGCACCCGCGGUAAUACAGAGGGUGCUAGCGUUAAUCGGAAUUUCUGGGCGUUAAGCGUUUUUUGGUGGUUUGUUUAUUUGUUGAGCACUCCCUGGGGUCAA